GUGGGGAAUCUUGCGCAAUGGGCGAAAGCCUGACGCAGCCAUGCCGCGUGAAUGAUGAAGGUCUUAGGAUUGUAAAAUUCUUUCACCGGGGACGAUAAUGACGGUACCUGGAGAAGAAGCUCCGGCUAACUUCGUGCCAGCAGCCGCGGUAAUACGAAGGGGGCUAGCGUUGCUCGGAAUUACUGGGCGUAAAGGGCGCGUAGGCGGACAGCUUAGUCAGAGGUGAAAGCCCAGGGCUCAACCUUGGAAUUGCCUUUGAUACUGGCUGUCUUGAGUUUGGGAGAGGUGAGUGGAACUCCGAGUGUAGAGGUGAAAUUCGUAGAUAUUCGGAAGAACACCAGUGGCGAAGGCGACUCACUGGCCCAAUACUGACGCUGAGGCGCGAAAGCGUGGGGAGCAAACAGGAUUAGAAACCCGGGUAGUCC
RNAcentral lists this ribosomal RNA (425 nucleotides) under uncultured bacterium. Its description in RNAcentral is "partial 16S ribosomal RNA". It matches the Rfam family "Bacterial small subunit ribosomal RNA", at positions 354 to 796 of the family's 1533-position model. The record is from RNAcentral.